Molecule: transfer RNA, 73 nt
Filed under: Marmota monax (woodchuck)
Lineage: Eukaryota; Metazoa; Chordata; Mammalia; Rodentia; Sciuridae
Description: tRNA.Undet
Source: RNAcentral
GGCAUGUAGCUCAGUGGUAAAUCUAUUGUCCUAGCAGGCACAGGUCCUGGGUUCAAUCCCCAGUGUAAUGCCA